Molecule: ribosomal RNA, 444 nt
Filed under: Nocardioides sp.
Lineage: Bacteria; Bacillati; Actinomycetota; Actinomycetes; Propionibacteriales; Nocardioidaceae
Description: bacterial SSU rRNA
Rfam family: Bacterial small subunit ribosomal RNA
Source: RNAcentral
GUUUGAAUCCUGGCUCAGGACGAACGCUGGCGGCGUGCUUAACACAUGCAAGUCGAGCGGAAAGGCCCUUCGGGGUACUCGAGCGGCGAACGGGUGAGUAACACGUGAGUAAUCUGCCCUCCACUUUGGGAUAGCCACCGGAAACGGUGAUUAAUACCGGAUAUGACCUGUGCCCGCAUGGGUGUUGGUGGAAAGUUUUUCGGUGGGGGAUGUGCUCGCGGCCUAUCAGCUUGAUGGUGGGGUAAUGGCCUACCAUGGCUUCGACGGGUAGCCGGCCUGAGAGGGUGACCGGCCACACUGGGACUGAGACACGGCCCAGACUCCUACGGGAGGCAGCAGUGGGGAAUAUUGGACAAUGGGCGGAAGCCUGAUCCAGCAACGCCGCGUGAGGGAUGACGGCCUUCGGGUUGUAAACCUCUUUCGGUGGGGACGAAGCGAAAGUGA